CCCUUAGAUGUUCUGGGCCGCACGCGCGCUACACUGAUGCAUUCAACGAGUUUCUUCCUGGUCCGAGAGGAAUGGGUAACCUUUUGAAAGUGCAUCGUGAUAGGGAUAGACUAUAGCAAUUAUUGGUCUUCAACGAGGAAUUCCUAGUAGACGUAGUUCAUCAGACUGCAUCGAUUACGUCCCUGCCCUUUGUACACACCGCCCGUCGCUCCUACCGAUUGAAUGCUCAGGUGAGCCAUUCGGACUUUCAUCAUGCUGGUUUCCAGUUUUGAUGAAGGAAAGUCUUGCGAACCUUAUCAUUUAGAGGAAGGAGAAGUCGUAACA
This 324-nucleotide ribosomal RNA is filed under the name uncultured eukaryote. Its description in RNAcentral is "partial 18S ribosomal RNA". It matches the Rfam family "Eukaryotic small subunit ribosomal RNA", at positions 1470 to 1796 of the family's 1831-position model. The record is from RNAcentral.